This is an RNA transcript of Schistocerca gregaria, 5003 nucleotides long. RefSeq lists it as uncharacterized. The record is from RefSeq and is a predicted model, not a curated record. Lineage: Eukaryota; Metazoa; Arthropoda; Insecta; Orthoptera; Acrididae. The transcript is spliced from 8 exons.
AUUCAUGCCCUUGUCGAAAUCACAUAGGGAGAGACACAUAAUCAUAACACCAAACAUUAGACUUCUUGUUACAACUACCAAGUUCUUCGAUGUCUAAAUUUGGGAAACACGAAUGGUCGCCGGAAGAGAAGUCCACAAUCCAAUCUCUUUUAGAAGUCAAAUUACCAGUGGAUCACAUUUCUUCUCGGCCGGGGACGGGAGGUGCGAAGGUGUCGUACAUUGAAAGUUGGAAGGCAAUUGAGUUGGCGAAUGCCAUCUUUGGAUAUAACGGAUGGAGCAGCAGUAUCGUGGACAUUACUCCGGACUUCAUCGAUCAGGAGGCGGGAAAAUACCGCGUAGGCAUAACAGCUGUUGUCAAAGUAACACUCAGGGAUGGUACAUUUCAUGAAGACGUAGGCUACGGCACGCAUGAGAACAGAAACAAGGCGUUGGCUAUCGAAAACGCAAAAAAAGAGGCCGUCAGCGAUGCCAGAAAGAGGGCACUGAGGGUGUUUGGAAAUGCUCUGGGAAAUUCUGUAUAUGAUCGUAUACAUGUUGGCCAAGAAGUGAAACAGAAAAAGAGCAAUAAUUUGCUGUCCUCACCUAUUUCUUAUGAUGGGCUGAGGAAUAGUUUAAAGCUUGAUAGUAUGCGUAGAGGGGCUAAAAACGACCCUAAGAUGGAUUUAGAAUGUCUAGCGGAUCAGGAUCAAUUUAUUCAAACAAAUUUAUUGGAGAUAUCGUCCAAGGCAUCAUCCAUUAAAACGUUGGAUCGUAUAGAUGUACAAUUCCACAGCUUAAAAGGUCGCCAAGAAAAUAAUUCAAUGAAUAAUACGUUCUCAACAAAUUGUACUAAUUUUGAAUUCAAUACCGAUCCAGUCGAUCAUCUUUCAAAGCCUAUACAGCUGCAGCCUUCUUUGGCACCGUUUGAGAAAGUUGUAGUCUGCGAUCAGGGCGAGGCGCCACCCGUCCGUGCAAAGUGCUCCAAAUACGACGCCGUUGCAAGCACAAUGGAGUUCAUCAAAGAGGAUAUGGUAUUUGAUUUUGGAAGAUAAUCUCAUAUGUAUUAUUCGGCACAUCUAAAUUCCCAUGUUUUCGGGCAUUCUUCGGACAACAGCCGUGCAUAAAGGCAGAAUGACAAGAAUCGUGGUUUUUCAAGAGGGAAUUGUCGAAAUUUAUAAUAUGGUGUACCGACCUGGCAGCAGUCAGCUGCAGAAAAAAAUUGCAGGAGACUGGCGUCAGAGUAGGUCGCAUUCUACUGGGUUUGGUAGCAGAGAAAAUCCAUUCAUGAAAUGACUAAUCGACGGCUCCCUGGGUGAUAUGUCGUACACUGCUUCCUGGUACAACAUUACACAUUGUGUUUUUUUUUGUGGAGAGUUGCACACGACCGACCCCUCUGCGCACCAUUCCAAACUCAUCGCAGUGAGGUCUAAAAGAGUCUCGGCCUCUCAUGUAAAAGCCGUCGCUACUCCCAGGCUUUCUGGACAUGACGGUACAUGCUGUAUGUAAACCGCAGUAUCUGUGGGUCUGUGCGCUUCCACAAUGUCCUUGUCCUUGCGUGGCUAUCAUGACAAAAGAGAGCUAUAUGCACUUUCGCCGACCCCUUUUAUGGCACCCUGCUCCGCAGAGUAAUUUUGAGCCGUGUUUUUUGUAAAUAGAUACGCAUUCGAGUGCGAUAAAGCGAAGUCGCCAAUCAGAGCUGGACCUAUGAAUUGGGAGUCGCCCCAGCUACAGCCUGCUGCGACAAAGAUUCGAAGACAAACUGCUUAUGGCUCUCAGAAGACUUUGCUAUUCGGUAUUAUGAACCUUUGGUUCUUCAUUGUGUCUUAUGUUAUUAUCAACAACUUCACUGUUCAGUCUUUUCUAGAAAGAUACCUACCAAGCGCAUUGCAGUCGCUUGUGGUUGGCGUCGUUUAUGUCGCUUCUGGACUCUUUCUGUUGUCUGCCUUUGUCGCUUGUUAUCUCUACUUUACGUAUUGCAACUCGGCCGCUUCUUCAGCGGGUUUGGACAAGGACAGAGUGCUCGGCAGACAGGUAAGCUCGAAGCCCAUUUUGUCCUCGAGACUUUCUGUGCCGACUUUGUAUCCAUCGAAAGCUGUCUCCCCGAGAAAUGCCUCCCCUUCAGACAUGACAUCGUCGAAGUCGAUGUCGCCCGUGUCCCCGUCUUAUGCACAAUUUCAUAGUCCGUCCUCCUUCUUGCCCGGCGGAUUUGUAAAUCCCAUGAUUGAGGCCGAAAGGGUCAACCAAUCUAUCAACGCCAAUCGGUUGACGCCAGUCCGCUUGGGCGCCCUUGACGAACCGUCGCUCUAUUCGUACAUUCCCACUUCGCACCCGUCUAAUGCGCGGCCUUUUAACGUGUCCUUAUCUCCAAAGACGUUAGAAACUCCCAACAUGCUUUCUCCCGCGACCUCGGACUACGACCACCUUCAUUUGUACCACCCACCGAAUCUCGCCGUCCGCCGUCCGUCGAUGGACGGAAUCUCGCCCGGCGGUCACCAUCUUCUCCCGAAAAUGCCCCAAUAUCAAAGCAUGGUCCCGGCAGUCGGUCCCGACAAGCCCUCUAGCUUCCGCGACCGAGUCUCCGACGACAGCGCGGCAGACGCCCUCUAUCGACAGCUCGGCGUGUCCGCUUAUAUCGACGAUUGGUGCGAACGCCUGCGCAUGUGGAUAAGUGCCCGCAUACUCAAACCAGACGUCGAAUGGAUGAAAAAAAUCGAAGAUCAACUGGGCAAAGAAGCACUUUACCAAGCGCAGUUCUCCCAAGUCCAAUCCGGAGUCCACUCUCUUCAGCAUCAACAACAAUCGUCCACCUGGCCGUCCUUCUACUCACCGAAUCCACCCAUGUUCUCCGGUAUGGCGCCAACCCCACAACAACAACAGCCAUUUCUGGAAGAACGAAUCCACCUGGAAAGGUACUUCGGCGACUUCGGCAGCUCCCGAGAAUACGUUGUCGAGCGUAUCAGACAACUGGCCGAGGGAAUGUGCAUGAGCGCCUACUGCUGGAACGAAGGCGGGCGGUGGAAGGACAGGGAAUGGAAUCCGGAUCUUCCUACCGAUGCUCACAUUAUUGCUCAUUUGUUCUGCACGUUCAUGGAUUCAGUCAUGGUCUCGGACGACCCUGCUCACGCCCACGACACCUUCAAAUCCAAAUACUUCAUCACAACCAUCGACCAGCUAAAAUCCUCCAUAUCCAUUCUCCAAAAAACCACGAGUCCACCCUACUUCAACCUGGUCGUAGACAAACAAGAAUGGGAAAUCCUAAGAGGAAGAAACAACCUGUUUUCCACAAUAUGUCUGUUCGUCUUCUGUGUGAAAAAAAAAUACUCUGGAUAUCUCAAUCAGCUGUACUUGGGCGGCAGAAUCGGACUGCUAGAAGUCAUUUCUACCGAUGGGAGCUGAUUGCGGCGCGAACAUUCUCAACGAAUGUAAAAUUUUUUUUUGCAAAAUCUCUCUCUCUGAUCUCAAUCGCGUUCAAUUUCUUUGUGCCCUCCUUUGCCAUCAAGCGCGCCUUCGCGCCUUUUUUUUUUUUAUUGCGUCUCGCAUCCGCACUUUUUUUUCGCAUCAGCCUACUCAUGAAACGCUCUUCCUCCGAAAAGCCUUCUCGACCAUUCAAAAAAAAAAAGCUCGACGCCACCUCCCACGCUACCACGCCUACUGUUCCCUCGCUCGCCCAAUCCGCCAUCGACUACCUCAAAAAGACGCAUGAUGAACUCGAGGCGCACGACGACCAAUUCCACCUAGCCUGUUGGUAAGAGUAACCUUCGGCUCUUCCUCCUUCUGUCCUAACAUUUUUUUUUUUGGCCUCUCUCCUUCAGCUUCGAACGCGCUUCUCCAGAUGAGCGCCGAGCGGAAAACGCUGUUCAUAGACGCGCUUUGCGAGCUGAACCACCGAAUUUACUCUCUGCUCGCAGCCGGAAUCAAACACACCAAUAUCACGCCGCGAGAUUUUUUGGCGGAUUGCAGCCUCUCCACGGAAAGCCGCUAUGUUGAAUUGAACUCCUGGAAGAGUUUGAUUCUAGAAAACAAAAUUUUGAGAAGGGAAGCGAGGCAAGCGUACAAGCUGAAAAGCCCGUUAAAGUGCGAAGAGUCAAGUUCGUCCAACGAAUCUCGUGGCUCAAACUUGGCGGACUUGUUUAAGCGCCUGUCAAGCAACUGCUCGUCAAACGAAGCCUGUAUGAAAUUUCUAUUUUGUAAGGAGACAGAUCCAUCUCUUGUCGUUUGUCAAACAGUCAAUCACUACAUCGACCAGUUGAGCAACGGUUUGAACCCUUUCGUCGAGCGAUAGCCCGCAAAUGUUAACGACUUUAAAAGUUGUCAUUUUUCACCACGCAGAGCUGUCUUUGGUGAACGCGCUUCGGCAGUUCGCGAACACGGUUUUCAGCGUUGCGCCUCUCAAAACAGCAGCCCUGUACGACGGCUCCCGAACGCGUUUUACGGCUGCGCACUUCCAUGCAAAAGUGCGCUCGGAGAAACGAACGCAGGCGGUCUCGAACAGGCCGCGCGAGAAUCUAUUGGGAUCCGAACGCGACGCGCGUCUUCGGCAUGUUUAGAGAAAUAAAUGUCGCAGCCGUUAUUGGGGUCAUUUUUUUUUGGCGUGCACAGAGUUUUUUCUUCAUGUUUGCUAAUUGGGCGACUACAACUGUCGGCGUCCGUGCUUCGAGGAAACGCUGUAUGAUGCUCAAAGCAGAAAACCGCUUCGUCAAGCACGAGGCGGACAAAAGCAGAUUUGUCAUUGAGUUCGUGAACGAAGAACCCGCAUUUCUACAGUACAAGAGGGUUGGCAAUACCUUUGAUCUGUACCACACGUUCGUUCCUCUUAGUAGGAGAGGGCGUGGUCUGGGAGAGGAACUUGCCCAUUCAGCGUUCUCGCACGUCAAGGCGCUGAAUGGAGUUGUGGAGCCGUCUUGUUCUUACAUCAGAAACAGGUUUCUCGUCGACCACAAGGAAUGGGAGAGCCUGGUCAAGAAGUAACGCAUUUGAAGCCCCGCAAACGCCUCCGAUGGUCGCGAUGUCUGCUUUUUCGCAAA